This 253-nucleotide ribosomal RNA is filed under the name uncultured bacterium. RNAcentral's name for it is "partial 16S ribosomal RNA". It matches the Rfam family "Bacterial small subunit ribosomal RNA", at positions 524 to 776 of the family's 1533-position model. The record is from RNAcentral.
UACGUAGGGUGCGAGCGUUGUCCGGAAUUACUGGGCGUAAAGAGCUCGUAGGUGGUUUGUCGCGUUGUCCGUGAAAACUCACAACUCAAUUGUGGGCGUGCGGGCGAUACGGGCAGACUGGAGUACUGCAGGGGAGACUGGAAUUCCUGGUGUAGCGGUGGAAUGCGCAGAUAUCAGGAGGAACACCGGUGGCGAAGGCGGGUCUCUGGGCAGUAACUGACGCUAAGGAGCGAAAGCAUGGGGAGCGAACAGG